GAGGGGAGGUGCAGCUGCUACUUUUGGAAUCUCGGGUCAAUGAAAAUACAUGUGCUAGACCCUUUAAUGAUGAGGUGUUCUCCUACAAGCGUUCAGCGCCGCCAUGGUCAAAAUGUAACUAUUAUCAAUGAAGCUAUUUCAAGGUGCAAAGAUACAUUCUUUCAGGGCUGGUCAGUAAACAUGAAUGGAUGAGAUAGAUGCUUCACUGUUGGUCUUGGAACCAGUUGCCACAGAAAUAACUCUGGAUUGUUUGCUGCGCACUACGCUCGUGCUUUUGAUGGUCACCAACUUCUAUGGGAACUAAAGACGCCUGAGCAUGCUCUAAAUCGUGCGGAGAUGUUGUACCAACUUCUGUCCAUGGCUGGGAAUUCUGGAGACAUACCGGAAUUGUUGAUUGACCUCCUUGAAAUUUGAAGUUGAUGUCUCAGCGUUGUCACCACUUUUGAGUAGACAGAAAAUAGUGCCUACUUGUUUGUUUUGUUUAUGCUUGGAAUCAAUUGGCAGUGUUUGCCUACUGUUUCCACCAGAAUUGAAGUCACCUUUAGAAUGGUGUGGUUUAUCGAACACUGUAUAAGUGUCGUGAAGUGUUCUUGAACAAUUGUACUGUUCCGAAUAUUGAAACAUUUCCUACCCAAUUUCGAAACCGUAUGGUCAGCUUUGUUUCA
Long non-coding RNA from Panicum virgatum (switchgrass), 665 nucleotides. RefSeq lists it as uncharacterized. NCBI's taxonomy places the organism in Eukaryota, Viridiplantae, Streptophyta, Magnoliopsida, Poales, Poaceae. The record is from RefSeq and is a predicted model, not a curated record. The transcript has 3 exons.